This 211-nucleotide small RNA is filed under the name Arthrobacter sp. RNAcentral describes it as "c-di-AMP sequence". It matches the Rfam family "c-di-AMP riboswitch aptamer (ydaO/yuaA leader)". From Rfam's summary of the family: This family represents a conserved RNA structure found upstream of the ydaO and yuaA genes in Bacillus subtilis and related genes in other bacteria. Lineage: Bacteria; Bacillati; Actinomycetota; Actinomycetes; Micrococcales; Micrococcaceae. The record is from RNAcentral.
CACCUCACACUGCCUAACCCUGUCGAUGAGAGUGGACCGUUCGCACAACACGUUCGACAGGGGCGGGGGAACCGAAAGCGGGCUCGUCUGACGAGCCCUAGGGGUUAAGACGCGUGUGGACCGGCCAGGGGGCGGUGGUCCACGGAAGAGCGCGUCCGGAUGUCCCAUCCGAACCCGACAGCUAACUUCGUAGGCAUUGGGAAAGGCAUCA